AUGAGUUGCUCGGCCCGGCCCAGCCCACACCCUCGCGCCCGCCCCACUCUCAGCGCACGGUCACUUCACGCACGCGGCCCUCGGCCCCUCCCGGCCCCGCCCGCCCCCCUGCCCCUCGGGAACCCCACGAACGCCCCCGCCGUGCUGCCCACGCGGGGCUCGGAGGCCCGGACCCCGCACGACCGGCAGCCUCUGCGCGCGCCUCUCAUCUGCAUACGCCCCGCCUUCUCUCCGCGGCCCCGCCCCGCUCUCCCCAGCCGGAGGGGCGCGGGGCGGGCUGGAGCCCGCCGAGCGCGUCCCCUCUCGUCCCUCUCGUCCCUCUCGUCCCUCUCGUCCCUCUCGUCCCCCUCCUCCCCUCUCCUCCCCUCUCGGAGCCCGAGGCUCGAAAGUAGAAGCGGCUGGAUUUCCUCGCCGGCUCCGUCCGACUUCGCCCCCGGGGAAGGAGCCGCAGCCCCGCGCGGCGGCCCUCCCGACGCUGCCCCGGGUGGCCUCUCCCUCGGCUGCCCUCUGGCCGGCGGAGCGCGGUCUGUCCGCGGAAACGAGGGUCGGACCGAGAGACCCGCGAGGCCGGGCGGGAGCAGGGUGCCGCGCCAGUGCCGGGCACCCACGGCUUCUCUGAGAAGCCGUGGGAGAAAGCAGAUCCCAGCUAGCAGCGCUCAGUGUGUGCUCCUGUGUCUCUCUUGUCUGGUCUGCGUAUGUGGCGGGGCGUAUGCAGAUGAGAGGCGCGCGCAGAGGCUGCCGGUCGUGCGGGGUCCGGGCCUCCGAGCCCCGCGUGGGCAGCACGGCGGGGGCGUUCGUGGGGUUCCCGAGGGGCAGGGGGGCGGGCGGGGCCGGGAGGGGCCGAGGGCCGCGUGCGUGAAGUGACCGUGCGCUGAGAGUGGGGCGGGCGCGAGGGUGUGGGCUGGGCCGGGCCGAGCAACUCAUACUUACCUGGCAGGGGAGAUACCAUGAUCACGAAGGUGGUUUUCCCAGGGCGAGGCUUAUCCAUUGCACUCCGGAUGUGCUGACCCCUGCGAUUUCCCCAAAUGUGGGAAACUCGACUGCAUAAUUUGUGGUAGUGGGGGACUGCGUUCGCGCUCUCCCCUGGUUUUCUGCGGUUGCUAAAAAUAGUGCUGCGCUGGGAAAUGAUUGGGUUGACGCCAAAGCAUCCUGCUUCUACAGGAUGCGCGGAGGGUCAAGACGAGUGCUGCGGUUGUAGGUAUUAACUGAGUUGUGGCACCAGCACUCUCGUGGGAACAACGUCGUUCAUGACUGCAGUUUUUAUGGUGUUCCUAGGAAAGAGGCGCAGCCUACGGAUUGUGUGAGGUCGAUCUCACGACACAGCUUCCCUCCAGCGAUGCUUAACUAAAAUCUUUUUUGUGCGCAGGCCUGCUUCCCCGGAGCUCACCACCCCCGGGAAAAAUGCUUACAGAAGCGAGUAAAAUUUUCCGCUACUAAUUUUUUGAAAUAAAUAUAAGGGAGGAUGUGUGUAUUUUAAAUUU
Molecule: long non-coding RNA, 1481 nt
Filed under: Oryctolagus cuniculus (rabbit)
Lineage: Eukaryota; Metazoa; Chordata; Mammalia; Lagomorpha; Leporidae
Description: lncRNA (ENSOCUG00000038502.1)
Rfam family: U1 spliceosomal RNA (bases 923-1086)
Source: RNAcentral